GGCAACCCGGUCAGGUCCCCUUCCAUGCUGUGGAAGAUUUGUUCUUUCACUCUUCACAAUAAUUCUUGCUGCUGCUCACUCUUUGGGUUCGCACUACCUUUAUGAGCUGUAACACUCACUGCGAAGGUCUGCAGCUUCACUCCUAAAGUCAGUGAGACCACUAACCCACCAGAAGGAAGAAACAACUCCAGACAUGCCACCUUUAAGAGCUGUAACACUGCAAAGGUCUGCGGCUUCACUCCUGAAGUCAAGCGAGACCAUGAACCCACCAGAAGGAAGAAACUCCAGACCCAUCUGAACAUCUGAAGGAACAAACUCCGGACACACCACUUUUAAAAACUGUAACACUCACCGUGAGGGUCCUCAGCUUCAUUCUUGAAGUCAGCAAGACCAAUAACCCACCGGAAGGAACCAAUUCUGGACACAUUUUGGCAACCAUGAAGGGAUUAUCGCCUAUCGCCAAGGGUUAAGGUGGCAGGGGUGGAAUCUUGGAUUCACCACACCUGAG
RNAcentral lists this long non-coding RNA (508 nucleotides) under Homo sapiens (human). RNAcentral describes it as "HSALNT0389313". The record is from RNAcentral. Lineage: Eukaryota; Metazoa; Chordata; Mammalia; Primates; Hominidae.